RNAcentral lists this ribosomal RNA (319 nucleotides) under uncultured eukaryote. Its description in RNAcentral is "partial 18S ribosomal RNA". It matches the Rfam family "Eukaryotic small subunit ribosomal RNA", at positions 1470 to 1796 of the family's 1831-position model. The record is from RNAcentral.
CCCUUAGAUUGUCUGGGCGGCACGCGCGCUACAAUGAUGCAUUCAAAAAGUCUUCUGACCUUAGAAGGUUGGGUAUUCUCCAAAGUGCAUCGUGAUGGGAAUAGUUUAUUGCAAUUUUUAAUCUUGAACGAGGAAUUCCUAGUAAGUACAGGUCAUCAACUUGUGUUGAUUACGUCCCUGCCCUUUGUACACACCGCCCGGCGCUCCUACUGAUUGAGUGUCUCGGUGAAUUCGUUGAUCUUCUGUCGAUUCAGUUCACUGAUCCGACGGUGGAAAGUUGAAUGAACUUCGUCACUUAGAGGAAGGAGAAGUCGUAACA